RNAcentral lists this transfer RNA (48 nucleotides) under Glossostigma cleistanthum. RNAcentral's name for it is "partial tRNA-Leu". Lineage: Eukaryota; Viridiplantae; Streptophyta; Magnoliopsida; Lamiales; Phrymaceae. The record is from RNAcentral.
CCUAUUUGACUCCAAAAAUCUUUAUCCUACCCCCCCUUUUCGUUAGCG